AGACUGCCACUGUGAAACGGGCGAAUCGCAACAAAGCUCAGAACUGACGUACAUUCUGGCCAUUGCACAGCCGGUCGUGCUGACCCCUGCAAAUUCCUCAAAUGUUGGAAUCUCGACUGCACAAUUUCUGGUAGUGGGGGACUGCGUUCGCGCUCUCCCCUG
Small nuclear RNA from Alosa alosa (allis shad), 162 nucleotides. RefSeq annotates it as U1 spliceosomal RNA. The record is from RefSeq and is a predicted model, not a curated record. The transcript has a single exon. Lineage: Eukaryota; Metazoa; Chordata; Actinopteri; Clupeiformes; Clupeidae.